RNAcentral lists this ribosomal RNA (252 nucleotides) under uncultured bacterium. Its description in RNAcentral is "partial 16S ribosomal RNA". It matches the Rfam family "Bacterial small subunit ribosomal RNA", at positions 524 to 776 of the family's 1533-position model. The record is from RNAcentral.
UACGUAGGGAGCGAGCGUUAUCCGGAUUUAUUGGGCGUAAAGGGUGCGUAGGCGGCUUGUUAAGUAUGAAAUUAAAGCCCGGGGCUUAACUCCGGUUCGUUUCAUAAACUGGCAAGCUUGAGUAUGGAAGAGGUAAACGGAAUUUCUAGUGUAGCGGUGGAAUGCGUAGAUAUUAGAAGGAACACCAGUGGCGAAGGCGGUUUACUGGGCCAUUACUGACGCUGAGGCACGAAAGCGUGGGGAGCAAAUAGG